Molecule: long non-coding RNA, 514 nt
Organism: Leguminivora glycinivorella
Lineage: Eukaryota; Metazoa; Arthropoda; Insecta; Lepidoptera; Tortricidae
Exons: 2
Source: RefSeq, a predicted model, not a curated record
AAGAAAGUCAAGGAAUAACUAAAACAAAUAUUUAAAUAUAAUUUUAUAUAAAAUAACAUGAUGGCACUAAAAACUUUUAUGAUAUCGUGUAUUUUGGCCACACAGUAUAAGGUCGCAAUUUCACAAUGCAUACGCCAGCCCAUCUGUCAAAAGGUCGUCCAACCCAUACUCCCCCCCAUUAUCCCCCCAAUUAUCAACCCCACAACCAUAAUCACAGACUGCACUCCAAGAUCCUGCCAAAACCUUGCUGAUACCUUACAACUCAUGAUUGUUUGCAACCUUCUUGAAAAUUCCAACUGUGGGGUCUGUGGGUGCAAUGACUGCAACCCCAAUUCAAUUUGCAACUGUGUUUCACCUUGUGGUUGCAUUUCACCGUGCGGUUGCAACGUAAUUUCACCUAGCAUUGUUUCACCUAGCGUUGUAUCACCUAAUUUGUUUGGGAACAAUUUAUUAGCGACUAGUCCUUAUAAUAAGCUGUUUAAUUUAUGUAUUUAAUAAAUAAUAACAGUAUUUA